This 697-nucleotide long non-coding RNA is filed under the name Mytilus galloprovincialis (Mediterranean mussel). The record is from RNAcentral. Lineage: Eukaryota; Metazoa; Mollusca; Bivalvia; Mytilida; Mytilidae.
GAGAAUUUUAGGCAUGCGUAUCAUAGUAAACAAAGCACGUGUGUUAGUAGUGAAAAAAAUCUUUUUUCUACGUAAAUUAAAUCAAGUUUUAAUUUAAUUUUAAAUCAUAAUUGACAAUUGUCUUAGCUGAAAAGUAAUUAAAUAAUGAAGACAGUUGGUAUUGAAUUUUAAUUUCUUUAUAAUAUUAGUUCGGAGCUUGUGAUUAAUAGCCAAGUGUGAAUUAAAAACACAGGUAAAGAGAUUAGCGAUCAUUAGCCAAUAGCUCCCCGAGGCAUUAAUAUAGCUAUUAGGAGGGCCCUCAGGAUUAUAACACUUUACUGGAGUGGCAGUUUAAUUACAUAAAAUCGAUAACAAAACAAAAAUAUGUUUAAAAUGGCGAUUUGAAACUCAAUCUCAACGAAAUGACCGAAAUUAUUUCUGUUGAAAAAUAAAAUUUGACCUAAAUCCCAAUAAAUGAUUUAGGACUUUUGAGUUUCCAAAUCGGUCAUGUCUAGCAUAUAUGACCGUUUCCGGACCCUUGUGUAGGAUGAUUGACAACAAAGUAAAUAAAUUUCAUAUAUUCCAUCUGUUUCAAGUUUGUCAUGGUCAAGUCAACAUCAGAUAUUACAAAAAGAGUGUUUUCAAAACAAAGGGAAGUUUCUCAUCGGUGUAGUAUUGCAUUGUACUACAUGUACAUGUAUAAAGUGCAAAAUUUGGU